Molecule: ribosomal RNA, 497 nt
Filed under: uncultured bacterium
Lineage: Bacteria
Description: partial 16S ribosomal RNA
Rfam family: Bacterial small subunit ribosomal RNA
Source: RNAcentral
GAUGAACGCUGGCGGCGUGCCUAAUACAUGCAAGUCGAGCGAACGGACGAGAAGCUUGCUUUUCUGAUGUUAGCGGCGGACGGGUGAGUAACACGUGGAUAACCUACCUAUAAGACUGGGAUAACUUCGGGAAACCGGAGCUAAUACCGGAUAAUAUUUUGAACCGCAUGGUUCAAAAGUGAAAGACGGUCUUGCUGUCACUUAUAGAUGGAUCCGCGCUGCAUUAGCUAGUUGGUAAGGUAACGGCUUACCAAGGCAACGAUGCAUAGCCGACCUGAGAGGGUGAUCGCCGACACGAGAACUGGGACACGGUCCAGACUCCUACGGGAGGCAGCAGUAGGGAAUGUUCCGCAAUGGGCGAAAGCCUGACGGAGCAACGCCGAGUGAGUGAUGAAGGUCUUCGGAUCGUAAAGCUCUGUUAUUAGGGAAGAACAUAUGUGUAAGUAAAUGUGCACAUCUUGACGGUACCUAAACAGAAAGCCACGGCUAACUACGUG